Molecule: ribosomal RNA, 422 nt
Filed under: Euscorpius sp. E07
Lineage: Eukaryota; Metazoa; Arthropoda; Arachnida; Scorpiones; Euscorpiidae
Description: partial large subunit ribosomal RNA
Rfam family: Bacterial large subunit ribosomal RNA
Source: RNAcentral
AAGGUAGCAUAAUCAUUAGUCUUUUAAUUUAGGACUGGAAUGAAUGGUUUAACUGGAUAAUCAUGUCUUAUUAUUAUACUUCAAAUUUUAUAUUUUAGUAAAAAAGCUAAAAUUAACAUUAAAGACAAGAAGACCCUAUCAAGCUUUAUAAUUAUAAUUUAACAUCAAUAUAAAUAAAAAAUUAUUUUACUGGGGCAGUAAAUAAAUAAAAUUUUAUUUUUAAAAUAUGAAUACAAUUCUUGAAACAUCAAAAAGUUUUUAAACAGAAAUAAGUUACUGUAGGGAUAACAGCAUAAUUUUUUUAAAGAGUCCUUAUCAUCAAAAAAGUUUGUGACCUCGAUGUUGGAUUAAGAUACCUUUUUUAUGCAAUAGUAAAAUUAGGAAGUCUGUUCGACUUUUAAAUUCUUCCAUGAUCUGAGUUC